CAGGAAUCGUCAGGCCAAAAGGAAAACAGCCAGAAAGGAGCUACUGUGACACUGGAGGGAUUUUCCCAGGAAAACAACCAAGUUCCUAGAGAACAUCAGAACAUCAGGCUGAUGAAAAAGAAACUGAAACAUCACAGACGCCAUAUAAACAAGCGGUAACAAAAUGGAGAUUUCAUUUUCUGUGGAGAUUUUGUGCAUUUUGCUGUAGAGCAAAGAAAAAAAAAAUCACUUCAGAAUCUUUCAGAACAAGUCUCCCACACCUCUUCCUCCAUUAGCCCGAGAGUUUGCUUAUGAAGAGUACAAUAGUUUUUUAAUAAAUGGGAGAAACCAGCAGGUAUAAACAUGGAGCGAGCAUCAAGCAACAUACAGGUUCUGGCCAGAGCAAGAAUUGCCACCAGCACCCACUGAGACACAUAUUGAUGGUACCAGCACAGAUUUCUUCCUCCAGGCGCUUUGGGAUGGACAUCCAGAUGAUUAAACAAAGACAAGCCAGGAUCUCUGGAAACAUCUGCUUUUGACAUUACAGGGCCAUGAAGAUCUGGAAGAUAGAACAGAGAAAGUAAGUGGAACAUCUGCUGCGGAGGGAGCUGGCAAGGGGAUGUGGUAGCGGUUUGUGUCAUUGUGGUCUGGC
RNAcentral lists this long non-coding RNA (631 nucleotides) under Struthio camelus australis. RNAcentral describes it as "lncRNA (ENSSCUG00000002475.1)". The record is from RNAcentral. Lineage: Eukaryota; Metazoa; Chordata; Aves; Struthioniformes; Struthionidae.